GCCCCCGUAGCUCAAAGGAUAGAGCGUUUGGUUGCGGACCAAAAGGUUGCAGGUUCGAGUCCUGCCGGGGGUGCCA
Molecule: transfer RNA, 76 nt
Filed under: Chloroflexota bacterium
Lineage: Bacteria; Bacillati; Chloroflexota
Description: Chloroflexi bacterium (hydrothermal vent metagenome) tRNA-Arg
Rfam family: tRNA
About the family: Transfer RNA (tRNA) molecules are approximately 80 nucleotides in length. Their secondary structure includes four short double-helical elements and three loops (D, anti-codon, and T loops).
Source: RNAcentral